GGGCCAAACCGUCACCCCUGGGCCACAGGCAGCCACGGACCUCGCCUUUCCCACUUGGUUAGAGUCGGCUCUGCCGGGAGAAAGCGAUUCCAGAAUUCCCUAAGUUAAAGGAAUUUCUUACUCCUUCUUGAGCGCCAUCCAAGGGCCAGGCCUUAGUCUAGGAACUGGCAACACCGUGGCGACCACGUCAGACAAGAUCGCUGCCCUCAUUGAGUUCCCAGCUGGAGGUAGAGGACGGAAACUCAAAAGAUGAUUGAAGAUUAAAAAACAAGAUGAUUGAGGCUGGACUUCUCAAAACCUUGCUGCAGCCUGAGCUUGAGCGUUUGUGAGCUUUGCAGCCAGAUAUGAACAGAAGACAGAUUCAUUUCCUGCUGCCUGCUUCUCCAACCCCAAAUCUCCCAGUUUGAUCCGAGAGCCCUGAAGAUUUGCCUUCACCCGGCGCCCCCCAGAUGCUUCUUUUUAAGCCUUGCUUGUAAAUAGGUGUCAGUAAGGGUCUCACCAUGCAGGAUGUGGGCGUGUGGGUGCUCCAGAUCCCCACACCGGCUGUCACCAUCCCCCUGCUGUUGCCAGUGCAUCCCUUGAGGAUGCCUGGCAGGUUACACCCCACCCCGGGGGCAAAUGGUGACUGACAACAGAACAAGUGCUCACCUGCUUGCCCCACAGCAGGACAGUUCAGUGGGAGGAAUUUGUUCUAGAGCACCCUGGAUCAGGCCAAGGCUUUCCCCUUCCAUAUUCGGCUUCUUUUGCUCCUCUAAUAAGUCACGCAUGUGGAGCCCUAAGGAGCUAAAAGAAAAUUGGAAAUGAGCUUAGCUGGCAAGAACAGACACAGGGGUAGAGGGGAGUGAAUGUUCUGAGAAAUAGGGUCAACAGCAAACAGCUCACUAGCACCCAAACAUCCUGUUGCAAGCAUUCAGCUCACAGCCCACCUGCACCCAAGCUUCCUGUCUGCAAGCCUUCAGCCCAGACAGCACAACUUUAUAAAGUCCCCUGCAGCCCCUGCCUUUUUGCAGACAGCAUUCCCUCUGCUAUGUUGCUCGUUGCUCCCUUGGAACAUAUGUCCCGCUUUUCUCUAAUAAAUCUACCUUUCUUUCCCAACAA
Molecule: long non-coding RNA, 1098 nt
Organism: Homo sapiens (human)
Lineage: Eukaryota; Metazoa; Chordata; Mammalia; Primates; Hominidae
Gene: NUP93-DT
Product: NUP93 divergent transcript
Source: Ensembl